CCUGGGGGAGGGACGUGGGGCAGAGGGCUGGUUAUGUCAGGGUACACUGUGCCAUCAGCAGAGCGUCUGGGGACAGGCCUGCCCUUCUCUCCCUUCCAGGCCAGAGGCCAGUUCACUGCCCUAACCUGACCUGCCCUGACCCAGCACUGACCCCACCAUCUGGUGAUGACACCCCCUGCCCAGGCCCUGCCCCUGAAACCAAAAAGGAAGGAGUUAAAAUUUCCCUGGAUUAGGCCGAAACCAUUGACAUGGGAAACAAAGUGACCAAGUUUCUGAGCUUGUUCUGCAGAACAGCAGGGGGACGCUGACACAUGGCAGCUUGUUGACCACAACCCCGCCCCCAAGCAUCAUGCAGGGGCACCAAGAAGCCAGUGACUGAGUGUAAACGUUCAACAUCACAGACUAAAAUCCACCGCAUGCAACAUGGAAGACAGUUGCACCUGUGCAGAGGACUCUUAGAACUUCCGCCCCAAGGCCACAUGCUCCCCCUCCCCCACUUGAAACCCCCAAUAAAAACCCCUGCUUGUAGCUUUUCGGGGAGUUCGGGAUUACAGCGUUAGCUGCCCGCUCUCCUUGCUCAGUGCUCUGCAGGAAAAUUCCUACUUUGUUCCACUGCGCCCGGCGUCAGAGAUUGGCUUGCUGUGCGACGGAAAAGCGAACCUGCUUAAGGUCUCCACUGAGUCUUGAAGGAGCCAGCUGACGUGAUGGUGAGGAACCGAGGCCCUCUGUCCAACAGCCAUGAGGACCUGAAUCCUGCCAACACCACCUGAGCUUGGCAGCAGAUCCUGCUCCAGUUGAGCCUUGAGGUGACCACAGCUGGCUGACACCCUAAAGCAGAGGGGCCAGUCGGGCUGCGUCCAGGCCCUGACCCACGAAGACCUCCACCAAUCAAACACGCCCACUCAAACUGGGAGCUAGUGAUGCAGAGGCAGGGACCUGGGGGGAGGUGCUGCAGCAGCCACGUGCAGUGUCUGCAGCCAGGGCCGGCCUGGUCUCAGGCCCAUGUCUUGCUCCAGCAGCGGUGGCAGGGUGAGCUGUCGGUCUCAUGUCAGCAGAGCUCUCUGGGCUGACUCUCAGGCUGGGUUUGGUGGUUUUCAUGGCCACGCGACUUUCCUUUCUUCUGCCCAUUUCCGGAACUGGGUCUUCGGCCACCAUGGCAAUUCUGGAGCACCAGCCGCCUGCCGACCCAGCACUUCCUGCUCCCACCCGCAAGAGCCGACCUCCGUGCCCUGCCAGGACUCCCGACAGAAGGCAGAGGUCAAGAUAUGCAGAAUCUUCCUCGCGGACCCCACGCCGGUGCUCAGCCACCUCAGCGUCCUUCCCCACAUCCAGCUGCUCUCUGGCCAUCGGCUCUGUAUCCCACACUCCAGGGUAGGCUGCUACCCCAGCCUGCUCACCGCUGGACCCCAGCACCUGUCCCAGGGCCUGGAGCCCAGGAGGUGCUCAGGGAAGUGGUUCCGGAACCUGCUUCUCCCUUGAUGAAAAAGAUGGAAGAAUAACAAUGGAAUCUGACUUUUGUACUUUGGAACCCAGGGGUUGGCAUCUGACAAAAUAGUCCAUGUCUGAAAGAAGCCUGGAUGAGCUGGCAAGGCCAGUGGAGGGAGAUGGUGAUGGGCCCGUGAUGGUUAACUUCAGGGUCAGCUUGGCUUGCCUGGUCAAACAUUGGGUGUUGCUUAUUAAAAGAUAUUUUUUAGA
Long non-coding RNA from Equus caballus (horse), 1695 nucleotides. RefSeq lists it as uncharacterized. Lineage: Eukaryota; Metazoa; Chordata; Mammalia; Perissodactyla; Equidae. The record is from RefSeq and is a predicted model, not a curated record.